CGCAACCCCAAACCCUUAACCCCGUCUCCCUCCUCCCCGCCGCCCUCUCCCUCCCUCUCCUGCUCCCCGCCGCCGCCCUCUCUCUCCCUCUCUGACCCACCAUUCUCUCUCUGCUCGGGCGGCCGGGCACGGCGACCUCGGGCGGAGGAGCCGCGGAGCGGCACGAGGCGAUCGAGCGCGGCGAGCUUGGGCAGAGGAGCGGCGCGGGGCGGCCGGGCGCGGCGAGCUCGGAGGAGCAGCGGUGCGGCCAGGCACGGCGAGCUCCCUUUGCCCUCCGCCCUCCGCCCGCGCGGAGGCCGGGGCAGGGGGCGGCGCGACGCGGCCGGGCACGGCGAGCUCCCCUUCCACCCUCCGCCGCGUGGAGGCCGGGGCAGGGGCGGCGGCGAGCCUGCGCGGCGGCCGGGGCAGGGGCGGCGGCGAGCCUGCGCGGCGGCCGGGGCAGGGGCGGUGCGACGCGGCCGGCACGGCGAGCUCCCUCCGCCCGCGCGGAGCCUGGGGCAGGGGCGGCGCGGGGUGGCCGAGCAGCGCGGGGCGGGCGGCGCCAAGAUCCGGAGCAAGGGCCGGCGGCGCGUGGCGGGGCGGUCUACGCGGGGCUCAGACUGUGGGGCAAACAAUGAUGUGCAAGUUUAGGUCCUGGGGCGGCGGUCGAGCUCGCCGAGGUUGUCCCCGUCGAAGAAGGCGUUGGUGGCUGGCAUCAGUAUGUCGCCGCUGCUCUCACUCCUUUGGCUCCGUUCGCUGUUCUCGCAGGUGUUGAUCGAUCAGUGACAUGCGCAAGAAAUAGGUGAGUGAUUUCCCACAUGCGCAAGAAACAGGUGAGUGAUUCCCCCCAAUCCCCCACCUCUCAGUUAAUUUAAUUUGGUAGACGUUGGAUGCAAAUCUCGUGAGAUUUUUUGGAGCUUUCCCGUGGGUGCUUGAUUGCAGCAUAGUUUUGCAGAUAGCCAGGUGAUAUCCCUUUCUCCCCAUUAUUAUUUUGCCAUGGGAUCUCAUGAGAUCUGCCCAUGUCACUUUUCUUCUGAAAUGUGCAUUGUAGGCCUAGAUCCCAUUCUUCAUCCCUGAAUCUGUUGUGUUGCUGCUACAUUAAUGAGAAAUAAUCCCCUUAAUCUCCUUACUUUGAUCCACAUAUUAAAUUCUCUGGUGCUGUGAUGUUAUUAAUUAUCUGAUGUGAAGCAUUUGGACUAAUGAAAUGACAGUACUAAUAUUUUUGCAUUGAGGCAUUUGGGCAUAUGCGGCUACAAUCCAUCUGUCUAUUCUUUUGUUACUGAUCUGAGGCAUUUGGUAUAAGCAAUGAUGAUUGCCAUUCCUUUUAUGAUCUCUCUACUCUCUUCUUACUGAUCUGAUACAUUUGCUUGGCAUAUGCAGUUAUGGUUAUCAUUCCUUUUACGAUCUCUCUCUCUUCUUACUGAUCAGAAUCAUUUGGCAUAUGCAGUGAAUAUGACCAUUCUGACUCUGAUCUUCUAUUCUCCUAUUUAUUAACUGAGGUUGGCAUCUGCAGUGAUGACAACCAUUCUCUGCAUACUGUACUGAACCAUUUGGACUUGUGCAUGAGAAACAAUAUUUGAGAAACAAUAUUUUAGACAAUGAGAUGCAAUGUUUUCAAGUCGCCUAGUCGGUCCUAGUCGCCUAAGGACCGACCAGUCGAUUAGUCGCGAUUAGUCGUCGACCAGGUCGAACUAGUCGACCCUAGUCGAGCUAGUCGGCUGUUAGUCGUCCAUAGUAUAUAGUAAUAGUAUAUACUAUAUAGUAUAUAGUAGUAUAGUAUAUAGUUACAUACAAAUAAGGAACAGCAAGCUGCAAGGUAGGUUGGUGAAUGGUGACUUACUUGGAGUUGGAGUGGAGUAGCAAACUGCAAAAAGUUGGCACUUGGCACUUUGGCAGAUUAAAUAAGGAAGUAAGGAACAGCAGUAGGCAGUAGCAAACAAUAACAAGGCUAAUGCAAUAAGGCUAAUGCAAUAACAAGGCUAAUAGGCAAACAAUAAGGAACAGCAGUAGGCCAGUAGCAAACAAUAAGGAUUAAGGAAUAAGGACACAGCACACAGCAGUAGCAAACUAGCAAUUCAACUGGAAGCCUCCAUCAGACAGCACUCAACUGACUAGUGACUAAUCAAGUAGAUCAGCAUUCAACUGGAAGCCUCCAUCAGAAUCCUGUCCACAAUCUUCAUCCUCUUCCCUUGCUGCUGAAUCUGAGCCUGCUGCCUCAUCUGAAGAAUCUGAACCUUCUCCUUCAGCCUCAUCUUGUGCAAUAUCUUGGUCUUGGGCCUUUGUGAUUCUUGCACGUUUCCUCUUCCUAACAUAGGUUUGGUUGACAGCGGCAGCAGCACGAGCAGCAGCAGCCCUAGGUAAAUUACGCCCCCUAAGACCUUGAGUUGCACCAGCAACUUCAUCCACAACAGUCCAAGUCAAACUAUCGGUAUCACCAUGAACCGAUUCAGAAUUUUCAUCAACCCAUUCACUUUCCCAUUGAAAUUCCUCAAGCAAGAGUGGGUUGCUUUUCUUUCCUUUGGAACCAAGCUCUCUAAUUUUUUGAAAUCUGUUUUGCAUCUUCCGGUUGUAGCUAACAUACACCAACUUAUUUAACCUUUUAUGCUCCAACCGGUUUCUCUUUUUGGUAUGGACCUACACAAAAAAACAGCACUAAGUCCACUAACAAAUGCCCAAAGAAUGUUAUCUCCAAUUACUGCUAGUAGCAAAAAAUAGCAGUAACUUACAUGAGCAAACGCACUCCAAUUACGCUCACAUCCAGAUGCAGCACAACAAAGGCUAAUAAUUCUUUUUGCCAAACUUUGGAGCUCAUAUGCUAGGCCACCAUAUGAACCCCACCAAAGAACUGCAAAGUGCAAACCAAUUCAAAUUACUGCAUUACUACCAAUCAAAGUGAUCAAUGAAGAAGUGAAAUAGACAAAGAGUUAUAAAAAAAACAGCAGUAACAGCAGUAGCACAAAACUUACUAGGAUUUUUUUUAUUUCUAUCUCUGAUUGCUAGUGGCUUUGAGAAGCAAUCGCCUUCGGACCUCUCAUAGUCAUCUGCUUGCUUACUAAUCUUGCUUUGUUCAUCAUCAUCAUCUAUCAUUUUCCACAAAACAUCAUUGAACAUUGAUCUUAGCCUUGCAGCCCAUCUCUUAUCUUUUUCUUUUAUGUCAAAAUACUUCCCUGGAUUCAAGAAGAGGGCUGCCCCAUAUAGUCUUUGUUCCAUUUGGCUUUCCCAUCUCUUGUCAUAGCACUCAAGCACCUCCACAAGUAAACUUGGUUUAUCUUUCAAAGAUUCUUUGAUAGUGGCCUUUGCAACAUCCAUGGCUGCCAUGAUCUCAGGAGCUGCGGGUGUCUCAUCUCCAUCUGCUAUCCUCAAAGCAAUGAGAAGUGGUUGUGUAGCUCUUAGGCAGUUUUCCAUAUUGUUCCAAAAUGGCAUUGAAAGAACAAUAUUCACAACUUGCCGACCUUCGCUAGAUCUAGACAAGCUGUUAUUAUUCCAGUCGUCACUAACAAAUAAACUUCUCAAGCCAUUCCUAUGCCUAUGCAUACUUGCCAAUGUAAGAAAUGAGGUAGCAAAACGAGUCACAGCCGGCCUCACAAGAUCUCCACCUAUCUUCUCCCGCAUUUGAUCAAGAACCCUCCCAUGCUUGUAGAUAAAUCUGCAUACCUUCUUUGCAUUAUUUAUGCAAGUGUUGAAGUCCUUUAUCUUCCCAAUGUCCUCCAACAUCAAGUCCAAGCAAUGGGCAGCACAAGGUGUCCAAAACAAAUGAGGAAUCCUCUCCAUCAGAAUCCUUCCUGCUGCCUUGAAGUUGGCUCCAUUGUCAGUGACAACUUGCACCACAUAUUGCUCUCCAAUCUUAUCAAUUUGCUUCUUUAACAAGUCUGCCAACAUUUCAGCAUUUGCUAUCUCACUUGAAGCAUCAACAGAACCUAGGAAGAAGGUCCCUGCUCAUGCUUCUUCCUUAAUUCUGUUGUCCUAGUCACAGCCCUAUCAAGCAAAGGAACUCUUAUCUCAUGGUAUGAUGGUGAGCGGUAACCAGGGCCAUAUUGCCCAAUGGACUCUAGCAUUAUCUCCCAGCUUCUUGAGUUAAUUACAUUCAAUGGUAUGCCAUUCUCAUAGAAAAAAUCAGCAACAUGGUCAUCAACAAUCUGCUUGGCCUCCUUGGAUUUCUUUGUGCAAUGCUCAAGAGUAGGUUGAGAAGUCUUUGAUUUGUGCCUCUCUGCAACUACUUCUUCUGGUGUCUUGCAAAGCAUGGCACUCACUGACUUUGAAUACUUUUGAGUUUGUGCUUUUGGUGGAGCAGAAACAACAAAAGUGCUGAUGGCAGCCUGUGUCAUUUUCUUCUUUACUUGCUUGACCCUUGUCCCAGAACUAGGCACUGGUGCUGCUUUUGGUUCAUCUUGAGGCCCAACAACUUGUUCCCCUUCAUCUGCAGCUUCUUCAUCUACUUCAGAAAUUUGCACAUAAGUACUCUUGGAAUUCUUCAACAAGUAAUCAUUCAUCUCUCUCUUGACUACUUCAGGACUCUCAGGGCACCCUGCUACGUCACCAUAACCCCCAGCAAGGUGCUGCUUGAACCUUUUUAUUCCUGAAGGCACUACCUUCUUACAGAAAAUACACUGCACAAAGUCUUUCCUUGUAACAUCUGGCCACCACCCAUAGUUCCAUCCUGGGUCAGAAGAUUUAGCCUUCCUCGUCUUAUCAACAGCCUGGGCACGAAGAUCAGCUGGCAGUUUCGCAAUUGCCUUCUCAGCUAGGGAUUUACCACUGCAAUCUGGAGCAGUUGAGGCUACAGAGGAGUUGGCAGUUGCUUGAGUCUCAGCACCAAUAGAAUUUGGCGGUGCGUCAAUCUCGGCAGCAGCAGAUUCCCGUACCACACUAUCUGGCAUCAUCACUUCCACCAUUGCACGCCGCCGUUCCAUCUCUGCAUAUAGUCAAUAGCAUCAGGGGAGGAGCAGAGCAGGGGUGCUGGGGGCUAGAACUAGUACUGGGAGCAAGGGAGGAGCAUAUACUCAAAACUCACCGUCGGAGGAGGAGCUCAUCUUCAAAGGCUUGUGCUGCUGGCCUGCUGGAUCUUUAGCACAAGAGCAGAGCAGAGCUGCUGCUGGAUCUGAGACGAGAGCAGAGCACUAGAGCAGAGGAGGGGGCGGCUGCUGCUGGCUUCCACGGGAGAGGAGAGAGGAGGGGGCGGCUGCUGCUGGCUUCCACGGGAGAGGAGACCGGCGGCUGCUGGCCUGCUGCUGCUUCCACGGGAGCGGAGAGAGGAGGGGGCGGCUGCUGCUGGCUUCCACGGGAGAGGAGAGAGGAGGGGGCGGCUGCUGCUGGCUUCCACGGGAGAGGAGACCGGCGGCUGCUGGCCUGCUGCUGCUUCCACAGGAGCGGAGAGAGGAGGGGGCGGCUGCUGCUGGCUUCCACGGGAGAGGAGAGAGGAGGGGGCGGCUGCUGCUGGCUUCCACGGGAGAGGAGAGGAGACUGGCGGGAGAGGAGAGGAGACCGGCGGGAGAGGAGCAGAGGGAGAGGAGAUCAGGAGAGGAGAGAGGAGGGCGACUGGGAGAGGAGAGGAGAGAGGAGAGGAGGGAGAAGAGAGGAGAGGAGCUGCUGCUUGGCGCCGCGCGCGUUUUGGUGGCCUGAAAACGGCCCGUUUUGGCGCCUCCCGCGCCUCUGUUUUGGCGCCUCCCGCAGCAGUGCAGGAAAUCCUUUUUCUGGUCGCUUACAGCACUAAUCGGCCGACUAAUCGCGAUUAGUGGACGACUAAUCGGACGACCAGAAAGCUGGUCGACCAAAUCGGGUCGAUAGCCCUGGUCGGUCACUCUUCAGCGACCUGGACGACUAAUCGCGAUUAAUCGCGAUUAGUCGGACGACUUGAAAACACUGAUGAGAUGAAUGAUUUAGGCUAAAGAUCUUUGUGUGAGACUGUGUGUAAUGAACUAAUAAUUUUCUGACAACUGGCCGACAGUUAGUAAUUGUAGAACUUAUUUUUUGCUAUUCCAGUUCACACUGUGUAUGAUGGCAUAUGGAGGUCAAGAUUUCUUUUGAGAGCGAAAUUAAGUUCUAGCAGGCUCUCACGUACACCGAUUAUCCAUAUAAAUGAGAAGUGAAGCACAAGCAUUAAGAAUAUCUGGUAGUCAUGCGUACUCGUGAUAUGUUCAACCAUCUUUUUUAUUUCUGAAAUGAUUUGCAGUUUUGGAAGGGAAUUGCAUAUUCUAAGGAUAUAUUAUGUUGCAGAUUGGAUAGACGGAGCAUAGAAAAGGAGGUGAUAUCUGAAAAGGUUAUUGAAUGAGUAAUGCCAUUUGUGAAACUCUAUUUAAAAUGAUUCACUUUAUCUUGUAAUGUCACCUCUGGCUGGUAUAAAAUAGUUCUCAAGUGAUUGAGUCCUUACAUUUUAACAGAACUAUUUCAGAAAAUAAUAGUUACAGCAAUUUCAUGAGUUCUGAUUGAAACUGAUUCCUGUUUUUUGUUUCAACAUAGUGCCAACUGCUGAGAUGUUUGUGGCAUUCAUACUUUCAAAUAAGUUCAGUUUAUACCAGUGCAAAGUGAUACAGCCUAGCUUCUGAGUAUUUAUUACUUCAUCUUAUAUGUGAACAGUGAAGAGAUUUGAGCGGUAAAAUCAUUCAAGCUGCAUGAUUACCUCAGAACAUAAUCUGAAUAAUGCUUUCGUUAACUGAGCAUAAUGUGGCAUUUUUAUGAGAAGUAAAAUCAAAACAAGCACCUGACUCCAGUUCUAUUUUGUUGGUGUUUUUUAAUUAGCAACCUGCCAUCCUGUUUUUAGAAACCAUUCAAGUAGUAGAUCAUUUGAAAGUUGUUGUUACAUCUCCAUGACACAUGCUAGACAUUUAAAUUAUUAUCGUUUUGCAGUCCAAGCAAGCAUGCAUGAGCAGUGAAGCUCAUAUUGAUUUUGUCUCUACCAGCUGCGGCUGUGUGCCCUUCAUCUCUGGCAAGAAGAGUCCGAUGCAUGGGAUUUGGAGUCUGCAUUGACCGCAGCCCGCAAACUGUGUAGCAUGGUCAGUUAGUAUUCAAAGCUAACAGCUAGGUUGUUUGGUAGUUAUGCAUACUAAUUGUUGCUUGUAGAUUUAUGGUGCUCCGAUGUGUUGUAAUAUUGAUGCUCCAAAUGCCGGAUAGACAUCUGGUGAUCGGAUAUACUGUGAUGUUGAUGAUUGAGAUGCCGGACAGACACCUUAUGCAUAGGAGAGCCUGGUGCUCGGAUAUGUGGUAAUAUUUAUUAUUCAGAUGCCGGAUAGACACUUGAUGGAUAGUAUAGCUUGGUACUCGGAUGUGCUGUAAUAUUUAUGAUUCAAAUGCCGGAUAGACACCUAUAUUAACAUUUUGAUGA
Panicum hallii is the source of this 7297-nucleotide long non-coding RNA. RefSeq lists it as uncharacterized. The record is from RefSeq and is a predicted model, not a curated record. The transcript has 2 exons. NCBI's taxonomy places the organism in Eukaryota, Viridiplantae, Streptophyta, Magnoliopsida, Poales, Poaceae.